CAGCCGCCGCGGGAAUACGAAGGGGGCUAGCGUUGUUCGGAAUUACUGGGCGUAUAGCGCACGUAGGCGGAUAUUUAAGUCAGGGGUGAAAUCCCAGAGCUCAACUCUGGAACUGCCUUUGAUACUGGGUAUCUUGAGUAUGGAAGAGGUGAGUGGAAUUCCGAGUGUAGAGGUGAAAUUCGUAGAUAUUCGGAGGAACACCAGUGGCGAAGGCGGCUCACUGGUCCAUUACUGACGCUGAGGUGCGAAAGCGUGGGGAGCAAACAGGAUUAGAUACCCCGUGUAGUCCCUGUCUCUUAUA
RNAcentral lists this ribosomal RNA (301 nucleotides) under uncultured bacterium. Its description in RNAcentral is "partial 16S ribosomal RNA". It matches the Rfam family "Bacterial small subunit ribosomal RNA", at positions 509 to 808 of the family's 1533-position model. The record is from RNAcentral.